AGUGAACGCUGGCGGUAGGCCUAACACAUGCAAGUCGAACGCCAGCACAGUAAGAGCUUGCUCUUACGGGUGGCGAGUGGCGGACGGGUGAGGAAUACAUCGGCAUCUACUUUUUCGUGGGGGAUAACGUAGGGAAAAUUACGCUAAUACCGCAUACGACCUACGGGUGAAAGCAGGGGAUCUUCGGACCUUGCGCGAUUGAAUGAGCCGAUGUCGGAUUAGCUAGUUGGCGGGGUAAAGGCCCACCAAGGCGACGAUCCGUAGCUGGUCUGAGAGGAUGAUCAGCCACACUGGAACUGAGACACGGGCCAGACUCCUACGGGAGGCAGCAGUGGGGAAUAUUGGACAAUGGGGGCAAGCCUGAUCCAGGCAUACCGCGUGGGUGAAGAAGGCCUUCGGGGUGGAAAGCCCUUUUGUUGGGAAAGAAAAGCAGCAGGUUAAUACCCCGCUGUUCUGACGGUACCCAAAGAAUAAGCACCGGCUAACUUCGUG
RNAcentral lists this ribosomal RNA (492 nucleotides) under uncultured bacterium. RNAcentral describes it as "partial 16S ribosomal RNA". It matches the Rfam family "Bacterial small subunit ribosomal RNA", at positions 29 to 507 of the family's 1533-position model. The record is from RNAcentral.